CGCGAGAGAAAUUCCGAGUAUAAAACUCAGCCAAAACCUUGUUAUAGCUAUUAUCAAAUACCUUUCUUCCUCUGCGAACCUAGAAAUUCUAGACAAGUUGAACGCCAAAUGGCUACCAUAGACGAAAGUCCCUCUGCUAAGCGGUGGCUUCCUCUUGAAGCUAAUCCAGAUGUUAUGAACAUGAACCAGUUCCUUUGGGGCUUAGGUCUUCCGGAGAGUGAAGCAGAGUGCUAUGAUGUUUAUGGCUUGGAUGAGGAACUCUUGGAAAUGGUUCCGAAGCCUGUUCUUGCCGUUUUGUUCCUCUAUCCCAUAACUCAGCAGAGUGAAGAAGAGAGAAUGCGGCAGGAAGGUGUGAAAAAGGAACAUGGCAGUAAAGUUUAUUUCAUGAAACAAACUGUGGGUAAUGCUUGUGGAACGAUAGGGCUUCUUCAUGCUGUUGGGAACAUCAAUUCAGAUAUCAAGCUUCUUGAGGGAUCAUUCUUGGAUAAGUUUUUCAAAUCCACUGCAAAGAUGGAUCCACUGGAGCGUGCUGCAUAUCUUGAGAAUGACAGAGAAAUGGAAGUUGCACAUUCUGUAGCAGCAACAGCUGGUGAUACAGAGGCUUCAGAUAAUGUGGACACUCACUUUAUCUGCUUCGCGUGUGUGGAAGGAGAACUUUUUGAGCUUGAUGGAAGAAAGUCGGGACCAAUAUCACAUGGUGCAUCCUCACCAAGCAACUUAAUGCAGGAUGCAGCUAAAGUCAUACGGAACAUGAUCCAGAAAAACCCUGACUCCCUUAAUUUUAAUGUAAUCGCCAUUUCAAAGAAAGCUGAAGGUGCAAUUUAAAUUUGGCAGUUUCAGGCUGUACAAGUUUUGUCCAGCCAUCCAUGAUGUGGUCGGUUGUAGGCUUUAUAAAACCCUUUGUCAUCAGUUAAAGACAUGCAGGGAAUAAUUUUCUGUUAAAUGUUCUGUGUAAAGCUAAAUCUUUAGCAUAAGAUUUCUAUUAUGAAUCUCGCUGGUUGGAUGUACGGUUUGAGUUCCAAUAUUGUUCAACCC
Molecule: unclassified non-coding RNA, 1035 nt
Filed under: Hevea brasiliensis (rubber tree)
Lineage: Eukaryota; Viridiplantae; Streptophyta; Magnoliopsida; Malpighiales; Euphorbiaceae
Source: RNAcentral